Molecule: long non-coding RNA, 411 nt
Filed under: Setaria viridis
Lineage: Eukaryota; Viridiplantae; Streptophyta; Magnoliopsida; Poales; Poaceae
Description: long non-coding RNA (SVIR_LNC000666)
Source: RNAcentral
CUGCGUAGAGCUCUCUUGUGAUCCGCAAGAAGCAGCGCCGCCGCCGGAGCUUUGCCGGUCUUAGCCCUUGCUCGAAGCUUUAGACCUCUCGCCCAAGUUUGCCUCUUCCCGACCCCGAGCUUUCCUUUCAGGAAGAAGGUGAGUUGCCGACCCUAAGUCCGCCUCGCCCGACCCCUCCUAUCCGCCCGACCCCGGUUCCGCCUCGUCCGACCCUGUCUGUUCCGCCGACCCUUAUCCGCCUCGCCCGAGGGCUUGGCUAUGAUCUUUUUCUUCAACUCGAGGGUGUAUGUGUAAAACUUGGGAACCCUUCAGCGCUUGCGUCUGAGGAUCCCAGUUAUCACAUCCUCUAGUUCAAGGAUCAGACCACUAGUUCCUUCCUACCCUUACCUCUUGAUCAUCAUCAGCUCUCUC